GUCGAACGAAGUAAGUUUUUCGGAAUGUACUUAGUGGCGGACGGGUGAGUAACGCGUGAAUAAUCUGCCCCAUACAGGGGGAUAGCCUCGGGAAACCGGGAUUAAAACCGCAUGAUGCUUUUUUAUCGCAUGGUAGAGAAGUCAAAUCGAAUAAGAGGUAUGGGAUGAGUUCGCGUCUGAUUAGCUGGUUGGCGGGGUAAGAGCCCACCAAGGCGACGAUCAGUAGCCGGCCUGAGAGGGUGACCGGCCACACUGGAACUGAGACACGGUCCAGACUCCUACGGGAGGCAGCAGUGGGGAAUAUUGCACAAUGGAGGGAACUCUGAUGCAGCGACGCCGCGUGAGUGAAGAAGGUCUUCGGAUCGUAAAACUCUGUCCUUGGUGACGAAAAAAAUGACGGUAGCCAAGGAGGAAGCCCCGGCUAACUACGUACCAGCAGCCGCGGUAAUACGUAGGGGGCGAGCGUUGUCCGGAUUUACUGGGCGUAAAGGGUGAGUAGGCGGUUAUAUAUGUCAGGUGUAAAAAGCUAUGGCUUAACCAUAGUAAGCACUUGAAACUGUAUGACUUGAGUGCAGGAGAGGUAAGCGGAAUUCCUAGUGUAGCGGUGAAAUGCGUAGAUAUUAGGAGGAACACCGGUGGCGAAGGCGGCUUACUGGACUGUAACUGACGCUGAGUCACGAAAGCGUGGGUAGCAAACAGGAUUAGAUACCCUGGUAGUCCACGCCGUA
Molecule: ribosomal RNA, 728 nt
Filed under: uncultured bacterium
Lineage: Bacteria
Description: bacterial SSU rRNA
Rfam family: Bacterial small subunit ribosomal RNA
Source: RNAcentral